RNAcentral lists this transfer RNA (74 nucleotides) under Marmota monax (woodchuck). RNAcentral's name for it is "tRNA.Ala". The record is from RNAcentral. Lineage: Eukaryota; Metazoa; Chordata; Mammalia; Rodentia; Sciuridae.
GGGGUUGUGGCUCAGAGGUAGAGUGCUCACCUAGCACAACAAGUGAGGCCCUGGGUUCGAUCUUCAGCACCGCA